AUGCCAGGAGACAACACAGAAAACUCUGCACAUCUUUCAGAUGGACAAUAAGAAGGGACAAUAUCCGAGCCACAUCCCUGCACACACAGUGCACAAGAGCAUAUUCUUAUCACAAGCAAUGAAAUCUACUACUACUGCAGUGGUGCAGAGAGGAGAAGAAAUCUGAGUGGAAAGUGUACUGGAAGGAAGACCGUUUCUGGGCAUCAGAAAAUGAAGCAGAUGUUUGACAGUCAGGUGUUUGAGGGAAUUCUAGGCAGAGGAAUCAGCGCAAGGCAAGUAAGUCCAAGAGGCUUGAAACCAAAAGAUGAGAUUUUCAUGCAUAUCAUAAUUGAGAAAUGAAGUUCUUCACAAAACCCUUGAAGGUUAUUUUCUUUAUUUACUGCUGGUAAUGAAAUGAUAAAAGUGCUCAAAGCACUUUUUAGUUGGUUAUGAAGAGAAAUCAAUACUGCUUUGUGUUUCAAAAAGGAAAGGCAUGCAAGGACGCUGAGGUGAGAGUGUUGAGACAAAAAGAGUAUUUAUGUCUACAGUUGGGAGGUGGCAGAAGAAGAAUUCAAGAACAAGUCUCAUUCUAUGAAAAGGCAAAAUGCUGCUCUCAUCAAGAAUACCAUGUACUUCAAAGAAACUUCAUGAGACUCGGAAUACAUCUCUAGUGGGGCACCUGUCUCCUUGCCCAGGCCCUGGGCUACUUCUGUAGCCACAUUCACUAUUCCCAAGCCCCCCUCUCACUCUUCUAAUUAUAUCAAAUGUACAUUCAUAAAAUAUACUAGGCUUUUUUUUUUAUGUCUUUUUGCCUUUGACUGUCUUAGAAUGACUUUCUAUUUGUUCAACUCUUCUGCUACACAUAGCUCAUGUGUUACACUCUCCAGGAUUCCUUUGCAAACUCCUUCAAGGAGUCUGCUCUUUCUCCUUCAUUUCCAAUAACAUUCUGUUGAAUCUCUCCUCAGGGGAUGUGCAUUGUUAUGUGAUUACUCAUUUGCCUUUUCUGCUCAAAUGUAAACUGUUAGAAGGUUCUUUCUUUCAAUAUGCCUGGCAUCUAAAUACAAAAAUGUCUGUAUAUUUUUACAUGUAUUCUUAUAUUUA
Long non-coding RNA from Odocoileus virginianus texanus, 1080 nucleotides. RefSeq lists it as uncharacterized. Lineage: Eukaryota; Metazoa; Chordata; Mammalia; Artiodactyla; Cervidae. The record is from RefSeq and is a predicted model, not a curated record.